GAGAGAACUUGCUCUGCCUUGUUGUACAGCGUAUCUCGAAGACGUUUCAAUUCCAAUUUUAAGAGAUUAUCUUCAAUCAUCAAAUCCUAUCAAAUGCCAAGAAGAGAAAUAAUACAAAAUUAAAAGGCAGAUUGGCCAUUUCUGUUCUCAGAGAUUCUAAAUCAGAAGCAGUUCUGUCCACAGUGGCUUUUAAAGUAUCCAGCUAAUAAAUAAAUAAAUAAAGCCAAAUUUGGAUUCUCUUACUCCAUGAGUGGUGCCAAUUGACUGAGACGGGACUUCCCAAUGUGAGAGGGAAUGGCAGAAUCUGGCCUUGUACAGCCAGGAGGAGGAUCUGGCCAUUUUGAGCACCAUAGAGAGUCAACAAAGAGGAAGAAAGCCAACCUGAAGGAAUAAAAGUUAGCCUAAUGGCUUGAAAAAAAGAAAAGACAUAGUAAGCGACUGGUCCUCCAGUUCUUACUAACACAAAACUCUUAACAUGUUCCUGAGCAAGGGCUGAAGGACUGGGUCAUAAAUAUUUGUGGGAUGUCACAGGCAUUAGUGCCCCAUCAACAAGUACUAUUGUUAAAAUUGUUGUCUUAUGACCUCAUUUGUCUAAGGCAAAAACACUUCUCAUUGCAAGAAGAAUAGUGAUAAACAGAAUAGGUUACAUAUUACAAUAUUCGUGAACCUUACUUCUUGA
Long non-coding RNA from Chrysemys picta bellii (western painted turtle), 679 nucleotides. RefSeq lists it as uncharacterized. NCBI's taxonomy places the organism in Eukaryota, Metazoa, Chordata, Testudines, Emydidae. The record is from RefSeq and is a predicted model, not a curated record.